UUGGAGGGCAAGUCUGGUGCCAGCAGCCGCGGUAAUUCCAGCCCCAAUAGCGUAUAUUAAAGUUGUUGCAGUUAAAAAGCUCGUAGUUGAAUUUCGGGAUCAAAUUGUCGGUCGUGCCUCGGUACGCACUGGUAUUAUUGGUUCCUACCUUCUGAAGAACUGCGAUGUCAUUAAUUUGGUGUCGUGGGGAAUCAGGACUGUUACUUUGAAAAAAUUAGAGUGUUUAAAGCAGGCUUACGCUUGAAUACAUUAGCAUGGAACAAUGAAAUAGGACGUUUGAUUCUAUUUUGUUGGUUUCUAGGAUUGACGUAAUGAUUAAUAGGGAUAGUUGGGGGCAUUAGUAUUCAAUUGUCAGAGGUGAAAUUCUUGGAUUUAUUGAAGACUAACUACUGCGAAAGCAUUUGCCAAGGAUGUUUUCAUUAAUCAAGAACGAAAGUUAGGGGAUCGAAGACGAUCAGAUACCGUCGUAGUCUUAACCAUAAACUAUGCCGACUAGGGAUCGGAUGAUGUUAAUUUUUUAAUGACUCAUUCGGCGCCUUACGGGAAAC
RNAcentral lists this ribosomal RNA (548 nucleotides) under uncultured Glomeromycotina. RNAcentral's name for it is "SSU rRNA". It matches the Rfam family "Eukaryotic small subunit ribosomal RNA", at positions 548 to 1098 of the family's 1831-position model. Lineage: Eukaryota; Fungi; Glomeromycota. The record is from RNAcentral.